UGGGGAAUAUUGGACAAUGGGCGAAAGCCUGAUCCAGCCAUGCCGCGUGUGUGAAGAAGGCCUUAUGGUUGUAAAGCACUUUAAGCGAGGAGGAGGGUACUGGUAUUAAUACUACCAGGUACUGGACGUUACUCGCAGAAUAAGCACCGGCUAACUCUGUGCCAGCAGCCGCGGUAAUACAGAGGGUGCGAGCGUUAAUCGGAUUUACUGGGCGUAAAGCGUGCGUAGGUGGUUCGUUAAGUUGAAUGUGAAAGCCCCGGGCUCAACCUGGGAACUGCAUCCAAAACUGGCGAGCUAGAGUAGGGCAGAGGGUGGUGGAAUUUCCUGUGUAGCGGUGAAAUGCGUAGAUAUAGGAAGGAACACCAGUGGCGAAGGCGACCACCUGGGCUCAUACUGACACUGAGGUGCGAAAGCGUGGGGAGCAAACAGG
RNAcentral lists this ribosomal RNA (430 nucleotides) under Pseudomonadota bacterium. RNAcentral's name for it is "Proteobacteria bacterium partial 16S ribosomal RNA". It matches the Rfam family "Bacterial small subunit ribosomal RNA", at positions 355 to 776 of the family's 1533-position model. Lineage: Bacteria; Pseudomonadati; Pseudomonadota. The record is from RNAcentral.